CGAAGUACGCAUUUCCAAGUGGACAUCGUCUCGUGUUUUGGAAACGAUGGAUCUCCUCUUGUAUACACAUUCAAUUGGCAAAUGGUACGACUACCAAUGAAGUUCAUUUGAUAAUUCAAAAAGACGAGGGACGCCAAAGCGAUG
Molecule: long non-coding RNA, 144 nt
Organism: Juglans regia (Persian walnut)
Lineage: Eukaryota; Viridiplantae; Streptophyta; Magnoliopsida; Fagales; Juglandaceae
Exons: 2
Source: RefSeq, a predicted model, not a curated record